GAACUUGCCAGAGAUGCUUUGGUGCCUUCGGGAACCGUGAGACAGGUGCUGCAUGGCUGUCGUCAGCUCGUGUUGUGAAAUGUUGGGUUAAGUCCCGCAACGAGCGCAACCCUUAUCCUUUGUUGCCAGCGGUCCGGCCGGGAACUCAAAGGAGACUGCCAGUGAUAAACUGGAGGAAGGUGGGGAUGACGUCAAGUCAUCAUGGCCCUUACGAGUAGGGCUACACACGUGCUACAAUGGCGCAUACAAAGAGAAGCGAACUCGCGAGAGCAAGCGGACCUCAUAAAGUGCGUCGUAGUCCGGAUCGGAGUCUGCAACUCGACUCCGUGAAGUCGGAAUCGCUAGUAAUCGUGGAUCAGAAUGCCACGGUGAAUACGUUCCCGGGCCUUGUACACACCGCCCGUCACACCAUGGGAGUGGGUUGCAAAAGAAGUAGGUAGCUUAACCUUCGGGAGGGCGCUUACCACUUUGUGAUUCAUGACUGGGGUGAA
Molecule: ribosomal RNA, 491 nt
Filed under: Enterobacteriaceae bacterium EKM403G
Lineage: Bacteria; Pseudomonadati; Pseudomonadota; Gammaproteobacteria; Enterobacterales; Enterobacteriaceae
Description: bacterial SSU rRNA
Rfam family: Bacterial small subunit ribosomal RNA
Source: RNAcentral